UCNUCAGGCCUAACACAUGCAAGUCGAACGCGAAAGCCCCUUCGGGGGUGAGUAGAGUGCGCACGGGUGAGUAUCGGGUAGACAACCUGCCCUUUGCUGGGGAAUAACCACGGGAAACCGUGGCUAAUACCGCAUAUUGUCUUAACCAGGCAUCUGGAUUAGAUGAAAGCCUUCGGGGGGCAAAGGAAGGGUGUGCGUCGGAUUAGGUAGUAGGUAGGGUAAAAGCCUACCUAGGCGACGAUCGGUAGCUGGUGUGAGAGGAUGAUCAGCCACANGGGCACUGACACACGGUCCAGACUCAUACGGGAGGCAGCAGUGAGGAAUAAUGCGCAAAGGCCGAAAGUCUGACGCAGCCACGCCGCGUGGAGGAAGACACCCCUAUGGGGCGUAAACUCCUUAGGUGUGAGAAGAAUAUCCGGGUUGCCCGGCNUGAC
Molecule: ribosomal RNA, 434 nt
Filed under: uncultured bacterium
Lineage: Bacteria
Description: bacterial SSU rRNA
Rfam family: Bacterial small subunit ribosomal RNA
Source: RNAcentral